UACGUAGGGUGCGAGCGUUGUCCGGAAUUAUUGGGCGGAAAGAGCUCGUAGGCGGUUUGUUGCGUCGGCCGUGAAAACCUGCAGCUUAACUGUGGGCCUGCGGCCGAUACGGGCAGACUUGAGUUCGGUAGGGGAGACUGGAAUUCCUGGUGUAGCGGUGAAAUGCGCAGAUAUCAGGAGGAACACCGGUGGCGAAGGCGGGUCUCUGGGCCGAUACUGACGCUGAGGAGCGAAAGCGUGGGGAGCGAACAGG
This 253-nucleotide ribosomal RNA is filed under the name uncultured bacterium. Its description in RNAcentral is "partial 16S ribosomal RNA". It matches the Rfam family "Bacterial small subunit ribosomal RNA", at positions 524 to 776 of the family's 1533-position model. The record is from RNAcentral.